UGAGGAAUAUUGGACAAUGGGCGCAAGCCUGAUCCAGCCAUGCCGCGUGCAGGAAGAAGCAUCUAUGGUGUGUAAACUGCUUUUGUACGGGAAGAAACACUCCUACGUGUAUGCGCUUGACGGUACCGUAAGAAUAAGGAUCGGUUAACUCCGUGCCAGCAGCCGCGGUAAUACGGAGGAUCCAAACGUUAUCCGGAAUCAUUGGGUUUAAAGGGUACGUAGGCGGUUUAAUAAGUCAGUGGUGAAAGCCCAUCGCUCAACGAUGGAACGGCAAUUGAUACUGUUAGACUAGAAUUACAAAGAAGUAACUAGAAUAUGUAGUGUAGCGGUGAAAUGCUUAGAUAUUACAAGGAAAACCAAUAGCGAAGGCAGGUAACUACUUGUGGAUUGACGCAGAUGGGCGAAAGCGUGGGGAGCGAACA
RNAcentral lists this ribosomal RNA (422 nucleotides) under uncultured bacterium. Its description in RNAcentral is "bacterial SSU rRNA". It matches the Rfam family "Bacterial small subunit ribosomal RNA", at positions 355 to 774 of the family's 1533-position model. The record is from RNAcentral.